AGCUCCGCUAGUGCUGAGUGCUGACGCUGCGCCGCCGCCGCCGCCUAUUCGUGACCAGGCCGUUGCCGCUGCUCCGUCCUCCGCUUCCCCCCGCCGCUGCUGCCUCACCAAUCCCUCCUCUUCCCCUCCCCACCCGGUCUCUGCCGCCGGCGUCUCCUUGUCUCGCUUCCCCGCCGCCGCCGCCGCCGCCGCCGCCGCCGCGACCUCGUCGACGGAAGUCUUCGGCGGCUGCAGAGUUCAUCCUAUCUCGGUGUGACUAGGCCGCGUACAGAAGGUCAAGGACCCAGAUGUUUUCUUCGCAGGAAGGUUCGCAGGAAGAGGACACGGCCAACUUUUCUUUCAAGGAUGGUAAAAAACUGUGCUCUCUUUUUCUGCGGCAGCAAGGUCUGAUCAAGAAAAAGCGAAGAUGGCUGGCCUCGCUGAAUCCUGAAUUAGGUGUCCCCUUCAAACUUAAGCGACCAAAGUUUCUCAAAGUCGCCUACUUGGCUGAAUCGGAUGUCAGGACUGAUGAAGUGUCCAGCGAGAGAGUAAGAUUUAACAUCGAAGAAAGUUUUGGUUUGCAAAGGAAGUGUUACAUUCAUCAGGUAGUUCUGGAUGGUCUCGAGCUUUUUAAGUUGCAAAAACAGAAGGAUGGCUCUCUCUGUCCAGAAAGCUUGAAGAUCAUGCACUGUACAAUCAGCAAAUUAAGCAAUGGAGCACUUGAGUCAGUGGCUAAUAUUGUCGCCCACAAUGGGAUUAGUUUCAGGAAGAUUAGGCCUACAAUGAUGAAAAUCGUGAAGGACCACCUUCCAAAAUACUUGGCUGAGUUGGACAGUGAAAGUGGUAUGCAGUUGUCUGAAAUUUUAACAAAUCCAUGCAGCUACCAUUCUAAUUCUGUCCGUCUUAGAACACCUGUUUCACCAAUGCUUCUGUCAUCUAUUGACCAAGCUUUAGCUGGGCUGGAUGAAAUUCCCCAGCUAGCUGUUAUUGCAAUCAAUAGAAAGCUCACAGGAAAAUCAUGCCCCCCAGAAUUUCUGCAUGUAACUCGAACUUCCAGCAGAAGCUAUCUUAUUAAUUUGCUAAGGAAAAGGUGUGGAAAUAUGAUAGCAAAGCUGCAGGAAGGCAGUGAUCUUCCAGUGAACUUUGCAAAAGCAUUGUCAGUGAUGAACCUGUAUCGAAAACUAACACUAAAGAGCAUGGAUAUUUCACAUUCAGAGUUCUUUCUGUUUCCACGUGCGACUAUAUCAUCGCAGCAAGAUAUCCUGAAUGCUCUAUGGUCACUUCCAAACGUCGAUACUGAUGAUAUGAAGUUGCUGCGUCCCAUUAUGGGUCAAGGUUCUCAAGUUAAGAUGGCAUCAUUCAGAGCAGCUGUGAGGAAGUACUUGACAGAAUGCUUGUUUGAGUGUGAUGAUGGUAAUUUACCAGAUUUGGCAGUACGUGCCAUUGGUUUCUUAGCUCGAAUGUCUCCUAAAUAUCAACAGGCUAUUCUCACAGAAGACAGAAAGGAAGUGGAAGUAGAUGCUGUCUUGGAUUUAAGCAGUUGUCUCAGAUCUUUAGCACGCGGUGCCACUGAAGAAAACUCAAGCGAUGACGAAGUUAGCUUAGAGAGUGACAGGUGCAGUGAAGAUAAUGAUUUUGUACUCACCGCGAGCAACUACUUUGAUAUUCGUUCUCAGCAGCACAUGGAUGAGGGCCGCUGUUCAAAUUUCAUGAUCAAUAGCACUGAAGAUUCUGAGUACACUGCUGGUGCUGGACAUUAUGGAGACAGUGAUGCUACUGGCAGUACGAAGGAUCCUAGUUUGAAGGACAAUGUGGAGAUGACUAGAUGCUCUGCAGAAGAUCUCUCUGCAUUAUGUGAUGACACUGCAAGUAUUGCACACGAGCUUAUUGGGCACAUUCUUAAAAACAUGUUGACUGAAGACGAGGAGAUUGAUGAACUUACCGAUUGUUAUCUUGGAGGCAGUUCUAAUUCUCAAGAUCCUCAAGAUCCUGAAGCGAAGAACCAAAAAGGCGACAUUGUGAUGAAUGCUGUCCAGAGUCUCUUACCUAAUCUACCGAAAAGCUCCAUUGACAAAGUUAGGAGCAUACUGGAUGGUGCUGAGCAGUGAGGAUGGUCAAUACACAUUUUUAGGUAACAAAUAUUAUGUCGAGGAUGCUGUGUUGCUCGGUCUUAACCGUUACUCUGCAGACAUGAUGACUCAACCUAUCAUGGCUGUUGCUCUUCUGAACCUCUCUUCACGGUUUCCAUCUAUCAGACUUACUGCUCUGAAUAAUGAACUGCAAGCUCUGCAGACGGACAAGGAGAUACUGAAGGCCAGUACCCAGUAGAAACAAACCAGAGGAGGAGGCAAGAUGUUAUUGAAGCACUCUUGUCCUUGCAGCCAUGUCUUCCACCCACAACUUAUCAUCUUCUCAGUGAACUUCAGUUUCUGCUGCACUGAUAACUCUCAACGAAGCAAACAAAGGGCUGGUGAGUUUACUGGAGAAAGAGCAAAAACAUCGGUCCGAAAGGAAGCACUCCACAAAGCUUUCUGGGUCAGUGGAAGAAGGGCCUUUUCUUUCUGCCAUGAUGCAAACAGGAAUGGCAGUAUCUUCCAGAUGAGAUGAGAUAAUCAACGCCCGCGGCAGCCGAAGAUGGCUUUGCAGCCGCGGCCGGUGUA
This is an RNA transcript of Triticum dicoccoides, 2639 nucleotides long. RefSeq lists it as uncharacterized. The transcript has 12 exons. Lineage: Eukaryota; Viridiplantae; Streptophyta; Magnoliopsida; Poales; Poaceae. The record is from RefSeq and is a predicted model, not a curated record.